Long non-coding RNA from Scylla paramamosain (green mud crab), 1680 nucleotides. RefSeq lists it as uncharacterized. The record is from RefSeq and is a predicted model, not a curated record. The transcript is spliced from 5 exons. Lineage: Eukaryota; Metazoa; Arthropoda; Malacostraca; Decapoda; Portunidae.
AGAGAGAGAGAGAGAGAGAGAGAGAGAGAGAGAGAGAGAGAGAGGAUGUGGUGCAAGUUGCCAGCGAUAUACUCAUAACCAUAACCUGAAAAGAAUGAAAUCUUUGGGUCCUUGCACUGCUGAAUUAGAAUGACAAGGAGGGGAAGGAGGAGGAAGCUCAGGCAAAACUGCAGAGAUGGAGGCGAUUUUUUUUACUUGCACUGAAAUUCUGUUCACACACACACACACACACACACACACACACACACACACACACACACACACACACACACACACACACACACACACACACAAGCGCACGCGUUAUUUCCGGACAUAACAUCUCUCUUUAUUUUUCGUUAAAAUUUUUCGUUUUUUUCAUUCAAUAAGUAAAUGUUAGCGGCCCUUCAUUAAUAGAAAACAUCAUCACAACACUGCACCACACCAUACCACACCACAACACGCCACACAGCACCACACUGUACCACACCACAUCACACCACACCAAAUCACACUGCAUCGCUCCACACCACAAUCGCAAUGAUGUUUUCCAUUCGCAAUGAUGUUUUCCAUGCCCUCGCUGGCCUAAACCCUUGGAAGGCUUAUGGACCUGAUGGGGUCCCUCCUAUUGUUCUCCGAAACUGUGCCUCCGUGCUUGCACCUUGCCCAGUCAAACUCUUUCAGCUCUGUCUGUCAACAUCUACCUUUCCUUCUUGCUGGAAGUUUGCCUACAUUCAACCUGUUCCUAAAAAGGGUGACCGUUCUAAUCCCUCAAACUACUGUCCUAUUGCUUUAAUUUCCUGCCUAUCUAAAGUUUUUGAAUCUAUCCUCAACAGGAAGAUUCUUAAACAUCUAUCACCUCACAACCUUCUAUCUGAUCGCCAGUAUGAGUUCCGUCAAGGCCGCUCUACUGGUGAUCUUCUGGCUUUCCUUACUGAGUCUGCAGCCAGUGUGGCGGCGUAUCUUGUGUGGUGCGCGUGUGUAUCGCGUUGUGUUCCUCCUCAAAGACUUAGUGGUGGUCAAGAUAACCACGAUUGGCCAAGCCUUUCCCGAAGUGUGCUACCAGUAGUGUACAGGCUCCAUGAUACAAGGGAAUGCAGUACAAACGCAAGUCUCAACAGUAGAGAGUCAAAACCAUCCAGCACUCAGUGGCCCCAUCGCGCUGGUCAGUAGAGGACCCGAGGCCAUCAGACGCAGCGGAACCUUUCUGGGUCGUAAGGUGAUAGUCCGGGGGACGUAAAUAGCCAGACGACGCGAGGAGGAAAGUGCGGGAGACUGGAAUGAAGCGACUGGAGAGUUAUGAAGGAUGAUGCCGCCGAAGUCCCGAGCGGCUUCGAGACAAGGAAGAGAAGCUCCGCGACUCACUUGAGCCAGUCAGUCAGUGCUGUGACACAAGGAGCAGCUUUCUCAGCGACGGGGAGCGGUGGACGGCGGAUAAAUACUUCGGCUCCCGCGCCUUCUUCUGCAUCAUGUCCGACCCUCUGACCCUGGUGGUGGGCGACGUGCGUCAGAGGAGUUGAAAAUGUAUGGGACUCGCUGCUGUGCCCUGCGUGUAGCUGUGAGGUGAAGUGCAGACGGCUGCAUUGUCUCAGCCUCGGAGGUGCCACUUGUUCAAAUUACGAAUGGUUUAAUGUUAUUUUUUGCAGGCUGUGGAAUAUUGCAGUAUCUUAUAACAAGACAAAAUAUUAAUGAUAUAAAUAA